RNAcentral lists this ribosomal RNA (936 nucleotides) under Galatheammina sp. 2 MaH-2019. RNAcentral's name for it is "partial small subunit ribosomal RNA". The stretch from base 22 to 605 matches the Rfam family "Eukaryotic small subunit ribosomal RNA", at positions 1178 to 1501 of the family's 1831-position model. RNAcentral also lists the same sequence under 1 other name. Lineage: Eukaryota; Foraminifera; Psamminidae. The record is from RNAcentral.
AAGGGCACCACAAGAACGCGUGGAGCAUGUGGCUUAAUUUGACUCAACGCGGGAAACUUACCGGGUCCGGACAUACUUAGGAUUGACAGGAUAAUUGCGAUUAGUAUAUUAACUUUUACGUGUAAUUUUGCUGGUUCUUUCAUGAUUGUGUGAUAGGUGGUGCAUGGCCGUUCUUAGUUCGUGGAGUGAUUUGUUUGCUUUAUUGCGUUUUUUAUAAGACUUAAAUCAAUAUGUAUAUAUUUUCGUUUUGUAUUGGAUUUUUAUUUAGGUUUUUUAAAUAUAUGUAUACUUUAUAUUGAAGAAAUAUUAAAAGAUAUUUUAAUAUUUUUAUAUUUAGAGUAAAUAUGUAUGUUUUUUUGAUUGUGAUGGAAAAUCGAUAUUUGAAUUUUUGUGUGUAUUAAGUCUUGAAAGCAACGAACGAUAUUGAAUUUUCUUCUUUUUGUUGUUUUUGUUUAAUUGAUUUUUAUGUAUUUUUGAUGUGUAAAUUUUGAUCAAUAAUUAAGAGAGACAGCUGUGUUAUUUAAUAUAUUUUUUUAACUAAAUGAAGGUUACGGCAAAAACAGGUCUGUGAUGCCCUUAGAUGUUCCGGGCUGCACAUGUGCUACAAUGAUUAUUGCAGUGAGUAUUUUCAUUUUGAUAAUUCUGAAGCAUUGAAAUAAUUUAAUGGUCAGUCUAACCUACUGCGAAAGUAUAGUAGGUAAUCAAUAGGAAGUGGUAAUUGUUUUCUUUCGAAUGAUUUUUUGAUUUUGUUUGUAUAAAUAUAUUAAUAUUUUUAAUUACUGUAUAAUGUAUAGAAUAGUUUUUCAAUUGUUAUUAUAGUUAAUUAAAUAUGUUUUUAGUAUUAUUUGUUAAUUCUUGGUGGGGACAGACCAUUGUUAAUUGUUGGUCUCGGUCUUAACUAGGAAUGCCUUGUACGGGUUUUGGUUCAACAAACCA